RNAcentral lists this ribosomal RNA (1372 nucleotides) under uncultured bacterium. RNAcentral describes it as "bacterial SSU rRNA". It matches the Rfam family "Bacterial small subunit ribosomal RNA", at positions 28 to 1381 of the family's 1533-position model. The record is from RNAcentral.
GAUGAACGCUGGCGGCGUGCCUAAUACAUGCAAGUCGAGCGAACGGACGAGAAGCUUGCUUCUCUGAUGUUAGCGGCGGACGGGUGAGUAACACGUGGAUAACCUACCUAUAAGACUGGGAUAACUUCGGGAAACCGGAGCUAAUACCGGAUAAUAUUUUGAACCGCAUGGUUCAAAAGUGAAAGACGGUCUUGCUGUCACUUAUAGAUGGAUCCGCGCUGCAUUAGCUAGUUGGUAAGGUAACGGCUUACCAAGGCAACGAUGCAUAGCCGACCUGAGAGGGUGAUCGGCCACACUGGAACUGAGACACGGUCCAGACUCCUACGGGAGGCAGCAGUAGGGAAUCUUCCGCAAUGGGCGAAAGCCUGACGGAGCAACGCCGCGUGAGUGAUGAAGGUCUUCGGAUCGUAAAACUCUGUUAUUAGGGAAGAACAUAUGUGUAAGUAACUGUGCACAUCUUGACGGUACCUAAUCAGAAAGCCACGGCUAACUACGUGCCAGCAGCCGCGGUAAUACGUAGGUGGCAAGCGUUAUCCGGAAUUAUUGGGCGUAAAGCGCGCGUAGGCGGUUUUUUAAGUCUGAUGUGAAAGCCCACGGCUCAACCGUGGAGGGUCAUUGGAAACUGGAAAACUUGAGUGCAGAAGAGGAAAGUGGAAUUCCAUGUGUAGCGGUGAAAUGCGCAGAGAUAUGGAGGAACACCAGUGGCGAAGGCGACUUUCUGGUCUGUAACUGACGCUGAUGUGCGAAAGCGUGGGGAUCAAACAGGAUUAGAUACCCUGGUAGUCCACGCCGUAAACGAUGAGUGCUAAGUGUUAGGGGGUUUCCGCCCCUUAGUGCUGCAGCUAACGCAUUAAGCACUCCGCCUGGGGAGUACGACCGCAAGGUUGAAACUCAAAGGAAUUGACGGGGACCCGCACAAGCGGUGGAGCAUGUGGUUUAAUUCGAAGCAACGCGAAGAACCUUACCAAAUCUUGACAUCCUUUGACAACUCUAGAGAUAGAGCCUUCCCCUUCGGGGGGCAAAGUGACAGGUGGUGCAUGGUUGUCGUCAGCUCGUGUCGUGAGAUGUUGGGUUAAGUCCCGCAACGAGCGCAACCCUUAAGCUUAGUUGCCAUCAUUAAGUUGGGCACUCUAAGUUGACUGCCGGUGACAAACCGGAGGAGGGUGGGGAUGACGUCAAAUCAUCAUGCCCCUUAUGAUUUGGGCUACACACGUGCUACAAUGGACAAUACAAAGGGCAGCGAAACCGCGAGGUCAAGCAAAUCCCAUAAAGUUGUUCUCAGUUCGGAUUGUAGUCUGCAACUCGACUACAUGAAGCUGGAAUCGCUAGUAAUCGUAGAUCAGCAUGCUACGGUGAAUACGUUCCCGGGUCU